UACAGGGGGUGCAAACGUUGCUCGGAAUCAUUGGGCGUAAAGCGCACGUAGGCGGUUCGUUAUGUCGGAUGUGAAAGCCCUUGGCUUAACCGAGGAAGUGCAUCCGAAACUGGCGAGCUAGAGUACUAAAGAGGAUCGCGGAAUUCCCGGUGUAGAGGUGAAAUUCGUAGAUAUCGGGAGGAACACCGGUGGCGAAAGCGGCUCACUGGACCAUAACUGACGCUGAUGCACGAAAGCUAGGGGAGCAAACAGG
Molecule: ribosomal RNA, 253 nt
Filed under: uncultured bacterium
Lineage: Bacteria
Description: partial 16S ribosomal RNA
Rfam family: Bacterial small subunit ribosomal RNA
Source: RNAcentral